GUUCUGGCUGCCAACCUUUCGUUUUUAACCCAAAAAAAGGAAUAAAGUGCAACCAAGGCCCUGAACCUUUUUGCUGAUGUUCAAUUAAGCCCAUUUUUAUCUUCUUACCAAAUACGUAAUGCCCUCAAGUUUCUGAUCAAGUCAAAUAGGCCCAAGUUUUUGCCAAAAUAAUUAAAGUGAUAAUUUCAAUUUUAAUAAUAACUAUCAAUGUUUAUAUUUUAAAUACUUACUCAAAUAUAAAAUUGGUAAAUCAAUACAGAAAGAGAACAAAUUCCAUAAACUAAACUUGAAUCCAGAAUACAUAUCCAUGAUAACACAAACCCAAAACUCCUCAAGAAAACAGACAUUCACAACGAAUCAUAAUUGAUCAAACACAAACCAAAACAAAUUAAUUUUCUCCUCUUAAGAACACAAACCCAGAACUUCUGAUAAUCGACUCCAUAACCUUGUCACUUUCAACCAUCUGCAAACUUAAUCUU
This 479-nucleotide long non-coding RNA is filed under the name Manihot esculenta (cassava). RNAcentral's name for it is "long non-coding RNA (MESC_LNC000506)". Lineage: Eukaryota; Viridiplantae; Streptophyta; Magnoliopsida; Malpighiales; Euphorbiaceae. The record is from RNAcentral.